ACCAAAGUCUGCAGUGUAACAAAAUGCUCAGAUUUUGCUGUCUCUGGCCAAUGGGAGGUGGUCACUAUGCAUGAAGAGAAGCAAGAGUCAGCCAUCUUUGAUGCUGUCAUGGUCUGCACUGGCUUUCUUACUAAUCCUUAUUUGCCACUGGACUCCUUUCCAGGUAUUAAUGCCUUUAAAGGCCAGUACUUUCAUAGCCGGCAAUAUAAGCAUCCAGAUAUAUUUAAGGACAAGAGAGUCCUUGUGAUUGGAAUGGGAAAUUCUGGCACAGACAUUGCUGUGGAGGCCAGCCACCUGGCAGAAAAGGUGUUCCUCAGCACCACGGGAGGGGGAUGGGUGAUCAGCCGAAUCUUUGACUCGGGCUACCCAUGGGACAUGGUGUUCAUGACACGAUUUCAGAACAUGUUGAGAAAUUCCCUCCCAACACCAAUUGUGACUUGGUUGAUGGCGCGAAAGAUAAACAACUGGCUCAAUCAUGCAAAUUACAGCUUAAUACCAGAAGACAGGACUCAGCUGAAAGAGUUUGUGCUAAAUGAUGAGCUCCCAGGCCGCAUCAUCACUGGGAAAGUGUUCAUCAGGCCAAGCAUAAAAGAGGUGUAAAUAAGUUACCACCACCAAGUGUCAUGAUGGAGGAAAUUAAUGCAAGG
RNAcentral lists this small RNA (647 nucleotides) under Pongo abelii (Sumatran orangutan). Its description in RNAcentral is "processed transcript". Lineage: Eukaryota; Metazoa; Chordata; Mammalia; Primates; Hominidae. The record is from RNAcentral.